CAGGUAGGACUACCCGCUG
This 19-nucleotide ribosomal RNA is filed under the name Hymenogaster arenarius. RNAcentral's name for it is "partial 28S ribosomal RNA". The record is from RNAcentral. Lineage: Eukaryota; Fungi; Basidiomycota; Agaricomycetes; Agaricales; Hymenogastraceae. RNAcentral also lists the same sequence under 4 other names.